This 1096-nucleotide ribosomal RNA is filed under the name Escherichia coli. RNAcentral's name for it is "partial 23S ribosomal RNA". It matches the Rfam family "Bacterial large subunit ribosomal RNA", at positions 1 to 1138 of the family's 2925-position model. Lineage: Bacteria; Pseudomonadati; Pseudomonadota; Gammaproteobacteria; Enterobacterales; Enterobacteriaceae. The record is from RNAcentral.
GUUAAGCGACUAAGCGUACACGGUGGAUGCCCUGGCAGUCAGAGGCGAUGAAGGACGUGCUAAUCUGCGAUAAGCGUCGGUAAGGUGAUAUGAACCGUUAUAACCGGCGAUUUCCGAAUGGGGAAACCCAGUGUGUUUCGACACACUAUCAUUAACUGAAUCCAUAGGUUAAUGAGGCGAACCGGGGGAACUGAAACAUCUAAGUACCCCGAGGAAAAGAAAUCAACCGAGAUUCCCCCAGUAGCGGCGAGCGAACGGGGAGCAGCCCAGAGCCUGAAUCAGUGUGUGUGUUAGUGGAAGCGUCUGGAAAGGCGCGCGAUACAGGGUGACAGCCCCGUACACAAAAAUGCACAUGCUGUGAGCUCGAUGAGUAGGGCGGGACACGUGGUAUCCUGUCUGAAUAUGGGGGGACCAUCCUCCAAGGCUAAAUACUCCUGACUGACCGAUAGUGAACCAGUACCGUGAGGGAAAGGCGAAAAGAACCCCGGCGAGGGGAGUGAAAAAGAACCUGAAACCGUGUACGUACAAGCAGUGGGAGCACGCUUAGGCGUGUGACUGCGUACCUUUUGUAUAAUGGGUCAGCGACUUAUAUUCUGUAGCAAGGUUAACCGAAUAGGGGAGCCGAAGGGAAACCGAGUCUUAACUGGGCGUUAAGUUGCAGGGUAUAGACCCGAAACCCGGUGAUCUAGCCAUGGGCAGGUUGAAGGUUGGGUAACACUAACUGGAGGACCGAACCGACUAAUGUUGAAAAAUUAGCGGAUGACUUGUGGCUGGGGGUGAAAGGCCAAUCAAACCGGGAGAUAGCUGGUUCUCCCCGAAAGCUAUUUAGGUAGCGCCUCGUGAAUUCAUCUCCGGGGGUAGAGCACUGUUUCGGCAAGGGGGUCAUCCCGACUUACCAACCCGAUGCAAACUGCGAAUACCGGAGAAUGUUAUCACGGGAGACACACGGCGGGUGCUAACGUCCGUCGUGAAGAGGGAAACAACCCAGACCGCCAGCUAAGGUCCCAAAGUCAUGGUUAAGUGGGAAACGAUGUGGGAAGGCCCAGACAGCCAGGAUGUUGGCUUAGAAGCAGCCAUCAUUUAAAGAAAGCGUAAU